GACGAACGCUGGCGGCGUGCCUAAUACAUGCAAGUUGAGCGCUGAAGGUUGGUACUUGUACCAACUGGAUGAGCAGCGAACGGGUGAGUAACGCGUGGGGAAUCUGCCUUUGAGCGGGGGACAACAUUUGGAAACGAAUGCUAAUACCGCAUAAAAACUUUAAACACAAGUUUUAAGUUUGAAAGAUGCAAUUGCAUCACUCAAAGAUGAUCCCGCGUUGUAUUAGCUAGUUGGUGAGGUAAAGGCUCACCAAGGCGAUGAUACAUAGCCGACCUGAGAGGGUGAUCGGCCACAUUGGGACUGAGACACGGCCCAAACUCCUACGGGAGGCAGCAGUAGGGAAUCUUCGGCAAUGGACGAAAGUCUGACCGGGCAACGCCGCGUGAGUGAAGAAGGUUUUCGGAUCGUAAAACUCUGUUGGUAGAGAAGAACGUUGGUAAGAGUGGAAAGCUCAUCAAGUGACGGUAACUACCCAGAAAGGGACGGCUAACUACGUG
Molecule: ribosomal RNA, 497 nt
Filed under: uncultured bacterium
Lineage: Bacteria
Description: partial 16S ribosomal RNA
Rfam family: Bacterial small subunit ribosomal RNA
Source: RNAcentral